AAAGCAAAUUAGGCGCAAAGGGGAGCAGACCUUCAUACAGCGCAAAGAGAAGGGGCCUGCUGCAUAAAUAUUCCAUCUUUGGCGCAUCUGGAUGGAGUCGGGUCUCCAAUUGGGCGAAUGCGCGGACCCUUCCCCCCCUUUUGUUUUACACGGCGCCGUUUCAAACAGAUGAAGGCAUUUAAACCAUUUUUUUUCUCUGCAUCAUCCCCAAAACACAGCCCCCUUUUGCAACCGAAAAUUACAGCCUGGGAACUAAUUUUUUAGGGUUUCUUUUUAGCAUUCGAAUCACCAUUGUUUUGGUGACCAUCUGCAUGUAAAGAGCACCCAGUCUCCUCGUUGAAGGUAGUUGAGCAAGUUUUAAAAAUGAUUUAGUACGGGGCGACGUGGAGGCGUACGGGGCUGUGCUGGCGCGGGUACGAAGGUAGCUGAGGUUCGGCUGCGGCGUGAGGAGAGAACCCUAGGGUUCCUGUUCUUGAAAUGCUUCGGGCCUAUUGGGCCUUGUAAGUUUGGGUUAGGUUUAAUUAUUGGUUUUAGGCUGAUGGGGUUGUGUAAUUGGGCUUGGGAUAUUUUGGGCUGUUUGGGUUAGUUGGGUUAAGUUUAGGUUUGGGCUUUGGUAUUGGACUUCAAUGUUUGUAAAAGGGACAUUGGAUUUAUUAUAUAUUUUUGUAUUUUGGUAGGCCCGGGCUAAAA
Molecule: long non-coding RNA, 690 nt
Organism: Gossypium arboreum
Lineage: Eukaryota; Viridiplantae; Streptophyta; Magnoliopsida; Malvales; Malvaceae
Exons: 2
Source: RefSeq, a predicted model, not a curated record